Ovis aries (sheep) is the source of this 73-nucleotide transfer RNA. It matches the Rfam family "tRNA". Rfam says of the family: Transfer RNA (tRNA) molecules are approximately 80 nucleotides in length. The record is from Rfam. NCBI's taxonomy places the organism in Eukaryota, Metazoa, Chordata, Mammalia, Artiodactyla, Bovidae.
CCCCUGGUGGUCCAGUGGUUAGGAGUCUGCACUCUGACUGCCAGGGUUCCAGGUUCAAUCCCUGGUCAGGGAA